GUUGUAGAAUAGUAUCAGAUGCAUGGAAAAAAUGAGACUAGAGUGCAGAGAAUUCCCACAUACGCUGCAUCUAGUUUCCCGUAUUAUUAUCUUACAUUAGAAUGAAUGGUGUGUUCAUUACAAUUAAUGAGCCAAUACGGAUACCUUGUAAUUAGCUAAAGUCUGUGCUUUGUUCACCUUUCCUCAGUUGAUACUUCAUGUUCUUUUUCAGUCCCAGGAUCCCAUCCAGGAUGCCUUGUCACCUUUAGUUGUCAUGGAGCCUCAGGAUGUUUUUGGUCAUGACGGUGUCCCCGACUUUCCUUGUUUUUGAUGACCUUGACAGUUUUGAGGAGUACCGGUCAGGUGUUUUGUAGAAUGCCCCUCAACUGAGAUUUGUCUGUUUUCUGUGGCGAUUAAACUGGGGUUAUGGGUUUUGAGGGGGAAGAUGACAAAGGUAAAGUGCCAUUUCCAUCACACAUCAAUGUGACUUAUCACAUGCUGACCCUGAUCACUUGGCGGUGGUA
Long non-coding RNA from Sapajus apella (tufted capuchin), 503 nucleotides. RefSeq lists it as uncharacterized. The record is from RefSeq and is a predicted model, not a curated record. NCBI's taxonomy places the organism in Eukaryota, Metazoa, Chordata, Mammalia, Primates, Cebidae. The transcript has 2 exons.